GUAAUAAUCCUGUAGUCGAAAAUGUUGUCUCUCUUGAGUGGAUCCUGAGUACGACGGAGCACGUGAAAUUCCGUCGGAAUCUGGGAGGACCAUCUCCUAAGGCUAAAUACUCUCUAGUGACCGAUAGUGAACCAGUACCGUGAGGGAAAGGUGAAAAGCACCCCGGAAGGGGAGUGAAAUAGAACCUGAAACCGUGUGCUUACAAGUAGUCAGAGCCCGUUAAUGGGUGAUGGCGUGCCUUUUGUAGAAUGAACCGGCGAGUUACGAUUUGAUGCAAGGUUAAGCAGUAAAUGUGGAGCCGUAGCGAAAGCGAGUCUGAAUAGGGCGUUUAGUAUUUGGUCGUAGACCCGAAACCAGGUGAUCUACCCUUGGUCAGGUUGAAGUUCAGGUAACACUGAAUGGAGGACCGAACCGACUUACGUUGAAAAGUGAGCGGAUGAACUGAGGGUAGCGGAGAAAUUCCAAUCGAACCUGGAGAUAGCUGGUUCUCUCCGAAAUAGCUUUAGGGCUAGCCUCAAGUGAUGAUUAUUGGAGGUAGAGCACUGUUUGGACGAGGGGCCCCUCUCGGGUUACCGAAUUCAGACAAACUCCGAAUGCCAAUUAAUUUAACUUGGGAGUCAGAACAUGGGUGAUAAGGUCCGUGUUCGAAAGGGAAACAGCCCAGACCACCAGCUAAGGUCCCAAAAUAUAUGUUAAGUGGAAAAGGAUGUGGCGUUGCCCAGACAACUAGGAUGUUGGCUUAGAAGCAGCCAUCAUUUAAAGAGUGCGUAAUAGCUCACUAGUCGAGUGACACUGCGCCGAAAAUGUACCGGGGCUAAACAUAUUACCGAAGCUGUGGAUUGUCCUUUGGACAAUGGUAGGAGAGCGUUCUAAGGGCGUUGAAGCAUAAUCGUAAGGACAUGUGGAGCGCUUAGAAGUGAGAAUGCCGGUGUGAGUAGCGAAAGACGGGUGAGAAUCCCGUCCACCGAUUGACUAAGGUUUCCAGAGGAAGGCUCGUCCGCUCUGGGUUAGUCGGGUCCUAAGCUGAGGCCG
RNAcentral lists this ribosomal RNA (1032 nucleotides) under Staphylococcus aureus. RNAcentral's name for it is "partial 23S ribosomal RNA". It matches the Rfam family "Bacterial large subunit ribosomal RNA", at positions 364 to 1404 of the family's 2925-position model. The record is from RNAcentral. Lineage: Bacteria; Bacillati; Bacillota; Bacilli; Caryophanales; Staphylococcaceae.